CUAGGGAGAAUGUAAUUUGUACAACAUUGUACAAGAUGAAGAAAUUCAUUAAAAUUCUGAAUAAUGUUUGAUAAUGACAUUUUUUAUUCAUAUGUCUUGACUAAAUCACGUGCCAGCAGUCGCGGCAAUACGUGGAAGACUAGUGUUAUUCAUCUUAAAUAGGUUUAAAGGGUACCUAGACAGUCAAAUAAACCUACUAUAGGUACUUUUUGACUAGAGUUUAAUGUGAAAGGGAUAAAUAGAACGAGUAGAGUAGAGAUAAAAUUCGCUGAUACACUCUGUAGACUGAUAAAGGCGAAGGCAACCUUUUAUGUAAAAACUGACGUUGAGGGACGAAAGCUAUAAUUAACGAAUAGGAUUAGAUACCCUAGUAAUGAGUGCCGUAAAUUAUGAGUGCCAUAUGUAAGAUUAAUAUUUUAUGUAUAAAUGAAAGUGUAAGCACUCCACCUUAAGAGUAAAGUGGCAACGCAGGAACUGAAAUCAUUAGACCGUUUCUGAGAACAGUAGUGGAGUAUGUUGUUUAAUUUGAUAAUCCACGGAUAACCUUACCACAAUUUGAAUAUAUAUCUAUAUAUAUACAAGCGUUGCACGGCUGUCUUCAGUUAAUGUCGUGAGACCAUGGUUAGAUUCAUAAAAUUAACGUAAACCCUUAUUUUAUUUACUAUAAAAUAGCCCCUUAAUUAUAUAUUAAUUUUGGUAAUAGGGAUCAAGACAA
RNAcentral lists this ribosomal RNA (715 nucleotides) under Cryptodiscus gloeocapsa. RNAcentral's name for it is "SSU rRNA". It matches the Rfam family "Bacterial small subunit ribosomal RNA", at positions 406 to 1188 of the family's 1533-position model. Lineage: Eukaryota; Fungi; Ascomycota; Lecanoromycetes; Ostropales; Stictidaceae. The record is from RNAcentral.